RNAcentral lists this ribosomal RNA (414 nucleotides) under uncultured Acidobacteriota bacterium. RNAcentral describes it as "bacterial SSU rRNA". It matches the Rfam family "Bacterial small subunit ribosomal RNA", at positions 32 to 477 of the family's 1533-position model. The record is from RNAcentral. Lineage: Bacteria; Pseudomonadati; Acidobacteriota.
AACGCUGGCGGCGUGCCUAACACAUGCAAGUCGCACGAGAAAGGGUAGCAAUACCUGAGUACAGUGGCGCACGGGUGAGUAACACGUGAAUCAUCUACCUUCGAGUGGGGAAUAACUGAGAGAAAUCUCAGCUAAUACCGCAUAACACCUACGGGUCAAAGCAGCAAUGCGCUUGAAGAGGAGUUCGCGGCAGAUUAGUUAGUUGGCGGGGUAAUGGCCCACCAAGACGAUGAUCUGUAUCCGGCCUGAGAGGGCGCACGGACACACUGGAACUGAAACACGGUCCAGACUCCUACGGGAGGCAGCAGUGGGGAAUUUUGCGCAAUGGGGGAAACCCUGACGCAGCAACGCCGCGUGGAGGAUGAAAUCCCUUGGGAUGUAAACUCCUUUCGAUCGGGACGGAUUAUGACGGUA